RNAcentral lists this ribosomal RNA (253 nucleotides) under uncultured bacterium. RNAcentral describes it as "partial 16S ribosomal RNA". It matches the Rfam family "Bacterial small subunit ribosomal RNA", at positions 524 to 776 of the family's 1533-position model. RNAcentral also lists the same sequence under 1 other name. The record is from RNAcentral.
UACGUAGGUGGCAAGCGUUAUCCGGAUUUAUUGGGCGUAAAGGGAACGCAGGCGGUCUUUUAAGUCUGAUGUGAAAGCCUUCGGCUUAACCGGAGUAGUGCAUUGGAAACUGGGAGACUUGAGUGCAGAAGAGGAGAGUGGAACUCCAUGUGUAGCGGUGAAAUGCGUAGAUAUCGAGAGGAACACUCGUGGCGAAGGCGGGUUCCUGGACAUUAACUGACGCUGAGGCACGAAGGCCAGGGGAGCGAAAGGG